UCUAACACUCCUGGUUUCAAAUGAUUGGG
Molecule: non-coding RNA, 29 nt
Filed under: Homo sapiens (human)
Lineage: Eukaryota; Metazoa; Chordata; Mammalia; Primates; Hominidae
Source: RNAcentral